RNAcentral lists this ribosomal RNA (687 nucleotides) under Triticum aestivum (bread wheat). RNAcentral describes it as "partial small subunit ribosomal RNA". The record is from RNAcentral. Lineage: Eukaryota; Viridiplantae; Streptophyta; Magnoliopsida; Poales; Poaceae.
AUGCAUGAACUAGUAAAAGAAAAAUCGGCUGCAGGGCCGCAUGAAGAUCAUGAAGCGGAUCGCGGAAGCCAGCAGCGGAGAAGCAGCGUGGCUUCCACGGAUGCCCCGCCUGGUGCUAAUGCACCGAUGAUCGAGAUUCGUGCACCGGAGCCUCAGUACCCCGUGGAUGAUGUAAAGGAGAUGAAAGAAUGUGAUCUGCAUUAUCCCAUGGGGAACGUUUCCACGAAGGUAGCUACCGGCAGUGCUUUACCCUGUACACCUGGAGCACUCCACCACAACAACCCCAUUGCAUAUGGCUAUGCUCGUGUCACGGUGGAAGACAUAGUCCAAGAGUUUGAGGACCUGGAGAUUGACAAAGCUACACCCAAAGGGGAGAGAAGACUUGGAGAUGUCAAGCGCCAGAUCAUUCUUUGGAAAAAGAAGUACAUAGUGUUUCCAGGCGAGGCGCCAAGGCUAACAAGUCCACCCCCCUCCGAUGGUGGUGGUGGUGGUGGUGGUGGCGGUGGUGGUGGUCGUGGUGGUUCACCUACACCUCCUUCACGCCAUUCGACGCCGUCCCCCGAUCCACAAUCUCCGGCGGGUAAGCAGCCGCCGCCCCCCAAUCCUCCUCCGGCGGGUACGACGCCCCCCAAUCCUUCUCCGGCGGGUACGACGCCCCCCAAUCCACCUCCGGCGAAGAAGCAGUAG